GACAGAGGGUGCAAGCGUUGUUCGGAAUUAUUGGGCGUAAAGGGUGCGUAGGCGGUUUUAUAAGUUAGAUGUGAAAGCCCAGGGCUCAACCUUGGAAGUGCAUCUAAGACUGUAGAACUAGAGUUUCGGAGAGGGUAGUGGAAUUCCCAGUGUAGAAGUGAAAUUCGUAGAUAUUGGGAGGAACAUCAGUGGCGAAGGCGACUGCCUGGCUAUAAACUGACGCUGAGGCACGAAAGCGUGGGGAUCAAACAGGAUUAGAUACCCCGGUAGU
Molecule: ribosomal RNA, 271 nt
Filed under: uncultured bacterium
Lineage: Bacteria
Description: partial 16S ribosomal RNA
Rfam family: Bacterial small subunit ribosomal RNA
Source: RNAcentral